GGGUCAGUAGGUUGGUCGUGCCACCGGUACGUACUGGUCUCACUGAUUCCUCCUUCCUGAAGAACAGUAAUGCCAUUAAUUUGGUGUUGCGGGGAAACAGGACUGUUACUUUUAAAAAAUUAGAGUGUUUAAAGCAAGCUAACGCUUGAAUACAUUAGCAUGGAAUAAUGAAAUAGGACGAUCGAUCCUAUUUUGUUGGUUUCCAGGAUUGACGUA
Molecule: ribosomal RNA, 216 nt
Filed under: Glomeromycotina sp.
Lineage: Eukaryota; Fungi; Glomeromycota
Description: partial small subunit ribosomal RNA
Rfam family: Eukaryotic small subunit ribosomal RNA (bases 40-216)
Source: RNAcentral